RNAcentral lists this ribosomal RNA (510 nucleotides) under uncultured bacterium. RNAcentral's name for it is "bacterial SSU rRNA". It matches the Rfam family "Bacterial small subunit ribosomal RNA", at positions 19 to 518 of the family's 1533-position model. The record is from RNAcentral.
CUGGCUCAGAACGAACGCUGGCGGCGCGUCUUAAGCAUGCAAGUCGAACGGCAAGAGGUAGCAAUACCUCCUAGAGUGGCGGACUGGUGAGUAACACGUGGGUGACAUACCCUCAGAUGGGGAUAGCUAUUAGAAAUAGUAGAUAAUACCGAAUACGAGCACAGGGGUUAGAGAUCUGUGAGGAAAGGAGCUAAGGCUCCGCUGAAGGAAUGGCCUGCGGCCCAUUAGCUAGUUGGUGAGGUAAGAGCCCACCAAGGCGAUGAUGGGUAUCCGGCCUUAGAGGGUGAACGGACACAUUGGGACUGAGACACGGCCCAAACUCCUACGGGAGGCAGCAGUAGGGAAUCUUCCGCAAUGGACGAAAGUCUGACGGAGCAACGCCGCGUGAGUGAAGAAGGUUUUCGGAAUCGUAAAACUCUGUUGUCAGAGAAGAACAAGUUGGAGAGUAACUGCUCCAGCCUUGACGGUAUCUGACCAGAAAGCCACGGCUAACUACGUGCCAGCAGCAGC